UGUGGUGGUGUGUGGUGGGGUGUGGAGGUGGUGUGUGGAGGUGGUGUAGGGGGGUGUGGAGGUGUGUAGUGGUGUGUGGAGGUGGUGUAGUGGUGUGUGGAGGUGGGUGUAGUGGUGUGUGGAGGUGGUGUAGUGGGGUGUGGAGGUGGUGUAGUGGGGUGUGGAGGUGGUGUAGUGGGGUGUGGAGGUGGUGUAGUGGUGUGUGGAGGUGUGUAGUGGUGUGUGGAGGUGGUGUAGUGGGGUGUGGAGGCGUGUGGAGGUGUUGUAGUGGGGUGUGGAGGUGGUGUAGUGGGGGUGUGGAGGCGUGUGGAGGUGUGUGGAGGUGGUGUAGUGGUGUGUGGAGGUGGUGUAGUGGUGUGUGGAGGUGUGUGGAGGCGUGUGGAGGUGGUGUAGUGGUGUGUGGUGGUGGUGUGUGGAGGUGGUGUAGUGUGGAGGUGGUGUAGUGGGGUGUGGUGGUGUGUGGAGGUGGUGUAGUGGGGUGUGGUGGUGUAGUGGGGUGUGGGUGUGGAGGGAUAAGAUGAGAUGAGUUCUGUUCUGAUGAGAUGAGAUCUGUUCAGAUGAGAUGAAAUGAG
This is a long non-coding RNA of Clupea harengus (Atlantic herring), 572 nucleotides long. The record is from Ensembl. NCBI's taxonomy places the organism in Eukaryota, Metazoa, Chordata, Actinopteri, Clupeiformes, Clupeidae.